UUUUCCUACGGGGGGCAGCAGUGAGGAAUAUUGGUCAAUGGGAGGAAUCCUGAACCAGCCAUGCCGCGUGCAGGACGACGGCUCUACGAGUUGUAAACUGCUUUUGUACCGGGGUAAAAUGCCUUACGAGUAGGGUUUUGAAAGUACGGUACGAAUAAGGAUCGGCUAACUCCGUGCCAGCAGCCGCGGUAAUACGUAUGGGGCAAGCGUUAUCCGGAUUCACUGGGUGUAAAGGGUGCGUAGACGGCCAUGCAAGCCUGGAGUGAAAGCCCGGGGCCCAACCCCGGGACUGCUCUGGGAACUGG
RNAcentral lists this ribosomal RNA (305 nucleotides) under uncultured bacterium. RNAcentral describes it as "bacterial SSU rRNA". It matches the Rfam family "Bacterial small subunit ribosomal RNA", at positions 334 to 636 of the family's 1533-position model. The record is from RNAcentral.